RNAcentral lists this ribosomal RNA (704 nucleotides) under uncultured bacterium. RNAcentral describes it as "bacterial SSU rRNA". It matches the Rfam family "Bacterial small subunit ribosomal RNA", at positions 61 to 774 of the family's 1533-position model. The record is from RNAcentral.
GUCGAGCGAGAAGUUCCUUCGGGAAUGAUUAAAGCGGCGGACGGGUGCGUACAACAUGGAUAACCUACCUUAAGGUCUGGGAUAACCUCGGGAAACCGAAGCUAAUACCGGAUAAGACCACAUUAUCUGCGGAUAAAGGGGUAAAAGUUUUUCGCCUUUAGAUGGGUCCAUGCUCCAUCAGGUUGUUGGUGAGGUAAAAGCUCACCAAGCCAAAGACGGAUAGCCGGCCUUAGCGGGUGAUCGGCCACAUGGGGACUGAGACACGGCCCCGACUCCUACGGGAGGCAGCAGUGGGGAAUAUUGGGCAAUGGGCGAAAGCCUGACCCAGCCAUGCCGCGUGAAGGAUGAAGGCCUUCGGGUCGUAAACUUCUGUCAGUAGGGACGAUGGGACUUCGGUCUUGACGGUACCUACAAAGGAAGCCCCGGCUAACUCCGUGCCAGCAGCCGCGGUAAUACGGAGGGGGCAAGCGUUGCUCGGAUUUACUGGGCGUAAAGCGCGCGUAGGCGGACCAGAAAGUUGGGGGUGAAAUCCCGGGGCUCAACCCCGGAACUGCCUUCAAAACUCCUGGUCUAGAGUUCGAGAGAGGUGAGUGGAAUUCCGAGUGUAGAGGUGAAAUUCGUAGAUAUUCGGAGGAACACCAGUGGCGAAGGCGGCUCACUGGCUCGAUACUGACGCUGAGGUGCGAAAGUGUGGGGAGCGAACA